This 59-nucleotide microRNA precursor is filed under the name Heligmosomoides polygyrus. RNAcentral's name for it is "microRNA hpo-mir-10054 precursor". The record is from miRBase by way of RNAcentral. Lineage: Eukaryota; Metazoa; Nematoda; Chromadorea; Rhabditida; Heligmosomidae.
AUGUAGGUUGAGCAUCAAAUGACAAGUAUUGAUCGAUUUGAUGCUUAGCCUACAUGGUA